UACGUAGGGGGCGAGCGUUAUCCGGAUUUACUGGAUGUAAAGGGAGCGUAGACGGUUCUGCAAGUCUGAAGUGAAAGCCCGUGACUUAACCGCGGAACGGCUUUGGAAACUGUGGAACUGGAGUGCUGGAGAGGCAAGCGGAAUUCCUAGUGUAGCGGUGAAAUGCGUAGAUAUUAGGAGGAACACCAGUGGCGAAGGCGGCUUGCUGGACAGUAACUGACGUUGAGGCUCGAAAGCGUGGGGAGCAAACAGG
RNAcentral lists this ribosomal RNA (253 nucleotides) under uncultured bacterium. RNAcentral describes it as "partial 16S ribosomal RNA". It matches the Rfam family "Bacterial small subunit ribosomal RNA", at positions 524 to 776 of the family's 1533-position model. The record is from RNAcentral.